This 448-nucleotide ribosomal RNA is filed under the name uncultured bacterium. RNAcentral's name for it is "bacterial SSU rRNA". It matches the Rfam family "Bacterial small subunit ribosomal RNA", at positions 330 to 793 of the family's 1533-position model. The record is from RNAcentral.
CCCAGACUCCUACGGGAGGCAGCAGUGGGGAAUAUUGCACAAUGGGGGGAACCCUGAUGCAGCGACGCCGCGUGGGCGAGGAAGUAUUUCGGUAUGUAAAGCCCUAUCGGCAGGGAAGAAGAAAUGACGGUACCUGACUAAGAAGCCCCGGCUAACUACGUGCCAGCAGCCGCGGUAAUACGUAGGGGGCAAGCGUUAUCCGGAUUUACUGGGUGUAAGGGGAGCGUAGGCGGUGCAGCAAGUCAGAAGUGAAAGCCCGGGGCUCAACUCCGGGACUGCUUUUGAAACUGUUGAACUAGAUUGCAGGAGAGGUAAGUGGAAUUCCUAGUGUAGCGGUGAAAUGCGUAGAUAUUAGGAGGAACACCAGUGGCGAAGGUGGCUUACUGGACUGUAAAUGACGCUGAGGCUCGAAAGCGUGGGGAGCAAACAGGAUUAGAUACCCGAGUAU